CGAGAAAGUGGAGCAUCCAUGAGUAAAGUGGCGCACGGGUGAGUAACACGUGAAUCAUCUACCUCCGAGUGGGGAAUAACCUAGAGAAAUCUGGGCUAAUACCGCAUAACACUUACGAGUCAAAGCAGCAAUGCGCUUGGAGAGGAGUUCGCGGCCGAUUAGCUAGUUGGCGGGGUAAUGGCCCACCAAGGCGAUGAUCGGUAUCCGGCCUGAGAGGGCGCACGGACACACUGGAACUGAAACACGGUCCAGACUCCUACGGGAGGCAGCAGUGGGGAAUUUUGCGCAAUGGGGGAAACCCUGACGCAGCAACGCCGCGUGGAGGAUGACAUAUCUUGGUAUGUAAACUCCUUUCGAUAGGGAAGAUUAUGACGGUACCUAUAGAAGAAGCCCCGGCUAACUUCGUGCCAGCAACCGCGGUAAUACGAGGGGGGCAAGCG
RNAcentral lists this ribosomal RNA (440 nucleotides) under uncultured Acidobacteriaceae bacterium. Its description in RNAcentral is "bacterial SSU rRNA". It matches the Rfam family "Bacterial small subunit ribosomal RNA", at positions 67 to 540 of the family's 1533-position model. The record is from RNAcentral. Lineage: Bacteria; Pseudomonadati; Acidobacteriota; Terriglobia; Terriglobales; Acidobacteriaceae.